RNAcentral lists this ribosomal RNA (800 nucleotides) under uncultured bacterium. RNAcentral describes it as "bacterial SSU rRNA". It matches the Rfam family "Bacterial small subunit ribosomal RNA", at positions 8 to 857 of the family's 1533-position model. The record is from RNAcentral.
AGAGUUUGAUCCUGGCUCAGAACGAACGCUGGCGGCAGGCUUAACACAUGCAAGUCGAGCGCCCCGCAAGGGGAGCGGCAGACGGGUGAGUAACGCGUGGGAACAUACCCUUUGGUUCGGAAUGACUCAGGGAAACUUGAGCUAAUACCGGAUACGUCCGUAAGGAGAAAGAUUUAUCGCCAAAGGAUUGGCCCGCGUCCGAUUAGCUAGUUGGUGAGGUAACGGCUCACCAAGGCUACGAUCGGUAGCUGGUCUGAGAGGAUGAUCAGCCACAUUGGGACUGAGACACGGCCCAAACUCCUACGGGAGGCAGCAGUGGGGAAUAUUGGACAAUGGGCGCAAGCCUGAUCCAGCCAUGCCGCGUGAGUGAUGAAGGCCUUAGGGUUGUAAAGCUCUUUUGUCCGGGAAGAUAAUGACUGUACCGGAAGAAUAAGCCCCGGCUAACUUCGUGCCAGCAGCUGCGGUAAUACGAAGGGGGCUAGCGUUGUUCGGAAUCACUGGGCGUAAAGCGCACGUAGGCGGACCGUUAAGUCGGAGGUGAAAGCCUGGGGCUCAACCCCAGAACUGCCUUCGAUACUGGCGGUCUUGAGUAUGGUAGAGGUUGGUGGAACUCCGAGUGUAGAGGUGAAAUUCGUAGAUAUUCGGAAGAACACCAGUGGCGAAGGCGGCCAACUGGACCAUUACUGACGCUGAGGUGCGAAAGCAUGGGGAGCAAACAGGAUUAGAUACCCUGGUAGUCCACGCUGUAAACGAUGAGAGCUAGCCGUUGGGGUGCAUGCACCUCAGUGGCGCAGCUAACG